Hevea brasiliensis (rubber tree) is the source of this 2938-nucleotide long non-coding RNA. RefSeq lists it as uncharacterized. The record is from RefSeq and is a predicted model, not a curated record. The transcript has 2 exons. NCBI's taxonomy places the organism in Eukaryota, Viridiplantae, Streptophyta, Magnoliopsida, Malpighiales, Euphorbiaceae.
UCUCCCAUUCCCUUUUUUUUUUUAAGUUUCAUCUUCAUUCUUGAAACAAAAUUCAAGAGCACGAAGUGCUACUACUCUUUAAUCAAGCCUUGAGAAAUUAUUUCUUUUUGUUUUCAAUUAGAAAUAUCUUGAAACACAACAUACUCUUUCUCCCUUUUUCUUAACCGCCCCAUUUGAAGAACAAGGAAGAGUUUCUUGGUUGAUCAAGGAGCUUUGAUCAAGUGCUUGUGUAGAUAAGCUAGACAAUUAGUAUUUGAUAGUAUUCAUUACCUGGAUUUAGUGAGAAUUGUUGAUUCUACUCAUCAAGGGUGAGUCCACCUCUAAAACCUUAGCUUCGUAUAAUUUGGGAAAGUUAUUUUCUAAUAGCAAUUAGGCUUGAUUAGCACUUGAAGCAUGAUUUAGUAUGACUAAAUGAUAUGUUUUUCAAUAGUUUAAUGAGAUUACAUGAUGCAUGAAACUCUAAGUUAAGAAAAAUUUUAAAUUGCUAAUUCCUGCACUUAUUGAUGAAUUGUUCUUGCAAUUUAUGUAUAACACUUUCACCUUUCAUUGAUAGUUAAACAUAUCGUUAGAAGAUGUGAACCUUCUUGUAGAAUCAGAACAAGUAUCCGUACUCAAUCUUAAUCACAGGGAUCAUCAACAUUGAAAAAUUGACAUUCUCGAUUUCAAUUAUUUAUAAGAUACAUACUAAGUAUUGAACAUUGUUAAGAGAUGUGAACCAUACCACAACGAUUAUUCGUCUAAUUUAUUGACCAUGUUCAAGUACUAGGUCAAUAUUUAAACGUUGCGUGUUACAUAUAAAUUGUAGACUAAGAUAAUGAGACCUGAAUUAAACUGGUGAAUUAGUAUGUUUUUAUCGUCCGAUCACCUAGCUCGGUGGUUUAAUUGAAAUACUUGGAAGAAAGCUUCUUAACAACUCAUAAUUAUUCUAGUGGUAGAAAUUAAGUUUCAGGAAUGGAUGACAGAUGAUAAAGCAAAUUAAAAUGUGAAAUGCCAGGCUGUAAGGAAGAUGGAGUUAAAAUGUAAGAGAAACACAAGCAAUGAGUCACGACAAGAGAGUGACAAAUUUCAAGAGGGGUUUUUACGGGGGACAAGCAUAGUUUUUGCUGUUAAAAGUCGAGCUCUCUUUCACAACAUACCACGUAUUAACUAACAUUUAGUGGCAAACCUGUGGGGGCGAAUUGGCUCUUCCUGUUUCAGCUAGCUUAGAAUCGAUUGAUUGAGAUCUACGUUAACUAUACACAUCUCAUGACUCCACACUAAUUAUUUUUAUGAUGUGAUUUAAAUUUUAGAUAUGUUUUUUAUGUAUAUAAAUUAAAUUAUGAUUCAACUUGAAAAGUUUAUGCUGCAAUUUGAAUGUAAUAUUUUUACAAGGUCUGUGUUGGUGGUCAAGGAUAUGAGUCUAUAAGUCUAACUUCUUGAGUUUCAAAUUCCUUAUAAUAUGAAUUAGUAUAAAUAUUAUUAAUUUUACAUAUAUUAUGGGAGUUUGAGUCAGCUUACUAAGAUUAAGAUUUAAAGAGUUCUUAAUAGUUAUAGCUUAUUCUUUAUCAUCUUAGUAGAAUUUUUCUCUCAUGUCUUACUCGUGAUUGUAGAUUUUAUAGUCGAACCAUAUAAAUUUCGUGUCCUCACUUUUUUCCUUUAUAUUGUGUUUGCGCAAUGUGUAUAGCUUAAUUUUUGUAUUAUAGCUAUAACAAUUAUGUUAACUCUAAAAUCCCAUUGAAACAUAUAUAGUAACUACACUAUUUUCUUUUUCCAUCUCAUUAUCAACUUUUUCUUUAUUUUCAGUGACGUAAAGCAUUAUUGAUUAUUCAUUCAUAAAGCUUGCCUACAAACAAAUCUUUAGAAUCAGGAUUAAAUUGCUUUUUUACGGCAGCCAAGGAUAGAAAUUUUGGAAUACAACUUCUACAGGGGGAACACUUGAUGGCCUAUUGCAGAUGACGAAUGUUUUGUGUUAAUUUAACAAAACACUGUUUUCUUCAUCAACUUAAGAAGCCUAAGUUUUAUUGUGCGAUAGUUCAUUGAUCUUCGCCCGCACAGUUGCAGCUCCUGCUUGAUUCAGUAUGAUGUUUGCGGCAUUUUACAAGUUCCAUCAAGGAAACCUAGUUUCUCCAUAGCACAAAAAGCUAUAUAUCUUUACAUGUAAGGUAGUUGGUUCCAGUUAAGGGUGCAGUUAAUGGCUAGUAGGAGACCGUGAUGAUCUCCACUCAGCAAGAGAAAAGGUUCUUCAGUUCCGUAAGAUCUUGUAUGGCGAUCUACCCCAAUUCUCUGUAAUUUGAUGUCUAGCUCUGGCUUCCACAUUCUCUUCCAUUGCAGCAAAUAAAUCUUCAAAACAAGUACUUCAAAUACAUUAAAAUUUGGAGAAGAAGAGAAUGAAAUCUCUGAUCUAUAUUCAGUAACUGACCUGAGCUCAACAAAUAUAUAUAGGUGAGGAGACAAAAAUAACUCCCUAGCUCAGCUUAACCAAUCAGCUUACGCACAGUACUCUAAACCAAAAAAUUAACUGAUCUCCUAAUACUAAGCUAUUAUCACUAACUGAACUGAAUAAAUUAUAGUACAUUCGCAUUAUCAACUUAAUUUUAUGUUUACAAAAACUUUAUAGGUUAGAUUUAAAAUUUUAAUCACUUCCUUAAAAUAGCUAAAAGGGAGAUGCUUGGCUACUUGUGGGGUAAGAGAAUGGGUCAUUGAGUGAUAUGUUGUUUCUCAUCAAGACCAGAACUACUUCUUCUAUGUAUACGAUCUGUAGCAGUUGCAUGUAUGGGAACCAUGUAAUGGAGUUCAUCACUACUGAAUCUUCAAUUCUUGAACAUUGAGUGUCAUAUUGUGUCAAUCUAGACUUCUGGGGUCAUAAAGAGUUGUCUUCCAAGACUGUAACGUCUCGAUUUCGAGUCAUAAUCAAAUAUUGUUGUAGGAGGUUGCUUAGUUAUAUAGAAUUCAUUAGUAA